GAUGAACGCUGGCGGCGUGCCUAAUACAUGCAAGUCGAGCGAACAGACGAGGAGCUUGCUCCUCUGACGUUAGCGGCGGACGGGUGAGUAACACGUGGAUAACCUACCUAUAAGACUGGGAUAACUUCGGGAAACCGGAGCUAAUACCGGAUAAUAUAUUGAACCGCAUGGUUCAAUAGUGAAAGACGGUUUUGCUGUCACUUAUAGAUGGAUCCGCGCCGCAUUAGCUAGUUGGUAAGGUAACGGCUUACCAAGGCAACGAUGCGUAGCCGACCGGAGAGGGGGGUCGGCCACCCUGGAGGGGGAACAGGGACAAGGCGACUGCGGGAGGCAGCAGUAGGGAACGGUCCGCAGUGGGGGAGAACCUUGCGGAGCAGGGGCGAGUGAGUGACAAAGGUGUUGGGAGCGGAAAGCUCGGUUUUUGGGGAAGAACAAAUGUGUACGUAACUGUGCACGUCGUGACGGUACCUGAUCAGGAAGCAACGGCUAACUACGUG
This 497-nucleotide ribosomal RNA is filed under the name uncultured bacterium. RNAcentral's name for it is "partial 16S ribosomal RNA". It matches the Rfam family "Bacterial small subunit ribosomal RNA", at positions 28 to 507 of the family's 1533-position model. The record is from RNAcentral.